RNAcentral lists this long non-coding RNA (2324 nucleotides) under Lathyrus oleraceus (garden pea). Its description in RNAcentral is "Pisum sativum (pea) long non-coding RNA (PSAT_LNC030492)". Lineage: Eukaryota; Viridiplantae; Streptophyta; Magnoliopsida; Fabales; Fabaceae. The record is from RNAcentral.
UGUUCACUAUUUGUAAAUGUUUGAAAGCUAUUUAGAUAGUAUGUAUACAAAUAUUCACUUACACCUUCAAUUACUUUGAAAGCUAUUUGGAUCGUUUCAAUCAUUUUAGAACAAAACUGCAAUCGUGGUAGCUCCAUUAGAACCCAUAUGAUUGAAUUCCCAGCUGCCAAAGUUGGUCUUCUAGUAGGAAUAGAAGCUUUCAAUGUAUGCUAUUUUACGCCACUUGUGCAUGAGGUUUAUGAAGUGCCAAUCUACUGGAUUCUUCAAGUCCCUGACUGCAACUUGUAUUUUAAUUUUUGUUUGUUAUAUUCCUUGAGUUUGCUGAUUACUUCAUGGAUUGUUGUUCAUUAUGAGUUGAAGAAAUAUGUUGCUUGCUUGAGAAACUUCGUGUUAGGUUUAAUAUAUUUGAUAGUUAGCGUUUUUCGUUGGUUCUUCAAUUGUGAUUUGGUUUUUUUAAGAUUGGAAUUGGGUUCUUUAUUCUUUGAUUGUCACUUGUAUGUUAAAAUGUUUAAGGACUACCACACAAAUUUAAUGAUGUGUACUGCAAAACAGGGUGUUGCUGGUAUGUUUGCUAAUAUGUUUCAUUAUUGUUCUAUGUGCUUAGGUUGGAUUUACUUGUUUAAUGGAAGUUAUGUUCCAAAUUUGAACCCUAUCAGAGGAAGUGCUAGGUUCAAUAGCCAAUAUCCAACACUAUAAUUUUAUUCAAAUGAAUAUUUAUUCACAUUUAUGAUUUAUCUAAUAAUGUCAUAGAAAAUAUGGACCAGAUUCAUGCCUUCUGCAAUUUGUGUCGACUUCUUGUACUUGAAAUAACAUUAGUUGAUUUUUUUUGAAAAUAUUUUUAGUUUAUAGUUAUGUUAUCUUAAUUCCCCAAGUCUCUAUGCAACUUGAAUUUGUUGAGGUUAAACUUAACAUUUAGAUUUAAUGAAGAAGACUUAAGAAAUGGUAAUUAUAUGAUUAGGUGCUGGAUACUAACACUUCAUACUUCACACAUUAUCUUGGAAAAACAUAGAUCAUUUCCCUUUUCUUAUCUCUUCCUUUUGUGGGAGAUUUUUGGAUUCUUUUGAUAUAAUUCCAUUUGCUAUUUGCUAUUCUAACCUGAGUUGAUAAUUGCUAUUCUACUAAUUUCUAUUCUAACCUGAGUUACUAAUUGAUAUUCUGCUAACUCACCUUUGUCGUCUAAUUGGAAAUUACUAGUUUUUUUUUUGGUGGAGGUAGUGCUUCAUAGUUUUUUCCCUGUGUUGGUAAAGAAACUUCAUAUAUUUUGCCAUGUAUGCUUUGUUUAUGUUGCAUUUUUUAGAUGAUUAUAUGUGUUCAUGACAUGUGCUAAUUUUGUGCUUCUGAACUGGAUGUUUGGAGUCUUAUGUUUAUGCUUUUGUUCGAAGAACUUUGAAUUGGCAUGGUUGUAUGUUUUAUAUGAACAUGAGUGGUCCUUGAGUGAGUUGCUUAGAGUUAUGAAUGGGAAGUUGACAUGACCUAAAUCAUCUCAAAUCAAAUUUAAGAUAUCCUUCAUUUAAAGAAGAACCAACCACUUGCAUUCCUAGGAUUAAUCAUGAAGUUAUUCAAGUGUUUCAAAGUCUUAAUGACUGAUUUUUCUCUGUCCCAUUUAAUGACUGAUUUUUCUCUGUCCCAUUCAUCCAAAAAUAGAUGAUGAAUUCAUGGAUAUGUAUUAUCAGAAAACAAGAAAGUGCAAGGAUACGCACACCGCAUAUGGACCUUUGGGUUUUUUUUCUAUGUCUGAUGUGCCAUUGGGUUUUGGGGUAGCUGCUAAGUCUAAACGGGAUUGUAGGAAGUUGAUCCUAAUGGAAUUGUUUUGGGAGUUUUAAUGUUGUCUGGUAACUGUUUGUGUUUAUGCAAGUGUUUUUGUAUUUUAAUAUGCGGGUGUUUGUGUUAUGGUUAUAACUUAGACUUUUACCUAAUUAUACUAUUUAACAGAAGGUUGUUUUACUUUCUAUAUAUUUUGCAUGUGUUGUUUUUGCAUUUGAAUUUGGUUUGUAUUAUCUGAUUUCUUUGGUGAUUGAAUUUCAUUACGUGACUAAGAAUCUGAGUGUAAUUUUAAUGUCUUGGUUCAUGAAUGAUUGUUUCAAAUUGUGAUUGUUCUGUGGAGUACUUGGUUCAUCCUAUACUUUUUUAAUAGUUUAAGUUUUAAGUCGUGUUUUUCGAAAAAGAAUUCUUGAUGCAAUGUUUGUUUGAUCAAGUUGUCAAGGACAUACGGCAUAUUAGUAAAAUGUUUGAGUUGUUCAUAUUGUACUGAUUAUCAUCUUGUGUUGUACAUGAUGAUUAUGUGAACCGUUUGACACAAGCCACACAAAAUGAUAAAAAUGUGG